AAGAAACUAACCUCUGUCUUGUUGGUAACCUGUUCUGACGAGAGACUCACAUGUUAAAGGCAUGCUUAGGGACAGUUCCCUUAAACCAAACCGUCUUAGUCCACGGUUUGGCAUCACUCCUAGCUAGCUUGGCCUUAAAAUCUCCCAUGCAUGUUCUUGAGGAGGAGUAACCAUGGCAUUAAGGAAUACCAUUUAUAGCGUUAGUCCAGUAGUAUAUGUCAGUUGUAGAUGAAAGACUUUUGGUAGAGAGAGGGAUCGUCAUUAAGUGGGAUUAA
RNAcentral lists this long non-coding RNA (275 nucleotides) under Capsella grandiflora. RNAcentral describes it as "long non-coding RNA (CGRA_LNC000033)". Lineage: Eukaryota; Viridiplantae; Streptophyta; Magnoliopsida; Brassicales; Brassicaceae. The record is from RNAcentral.